UAGAGGAAAUAUUGCAUGUGAUGAUUGAAGAGGUGUUUGUUGAUGUUGUACUGUGCAGAUGAGUCCAUGAACACUACCAUUAUGAAUGUUAAUGGCAUAUAGCUUUUCAUCAUAGCUGAUCUGCCAGCUGAGGAAAGCGUUGCAGCAGCCAAACUACCCCCUGGAUGGCAACCUGCAUGGUCCAGAGCUGCCUCUCCAGGCUUGAUUGCGGGCUCAACACUAUCCCGACCGUAAAUUAUUUGUCUUCUGCUGUUCUUGACCUCUAGCCGAUAAAAGCUGCAUCCUUUGCUAAAUGGGAAUGGCUUGCCCUUCCAGUCUNNNNUCUAAAUGCCAUGUAACUCCAACUGCUAAGGAAUCCUCAGCAGAAAUAUCAUCAAUAACAAAUCGGAGGUCCUUGCUGAUAGAAUCAUUGAACUUCUUAAAGAACUCUAAAAUAUCCUUCCGACCAAUGAAGGGCCGUGGAAAGAUAAGGUCGUCGUACACACAAUUCUCCGCAAUGAGCUUCUCCACGGCGGCAAGAUCGCGGUCGUUGAUUCCUUUAUAGAAGCUCCUCACUAUCUCC
RNAcentral lists this unclassified non-coding RNA (562 nucleotides) under Hevea brasiliensis (rubber tree). The record is from RNAcentral. Lineage: Eukaryota; Viridiplantae; Streptophyta; Magnoliopsida; Malpighiales; Euphorbiaceae.